Molecule: transfer RNA, 88 nt
Filed under: Lentisphaerota bacterium
Lineage: Bacteria; Pseudomonadati; Lentisphaerota
Description: Lentisphaerae bacterium (anaerobic digester metagenome) tRNA-Leu
Rfam family: tRNA
About the family: Transfer RNA (tRNA) molecules are approximately 80 nucleotides in length. Their secondary structure includes four short double-helical elements and three loops (D, anti-codon, and T loops).
Source: RNAcentral
GCUCGGGUGGUGAAAUUGGUAGACACGCAAGGUUGAGGGCCUUGUGGCCGUUAAGGCCAUAUGAGUUCGAGUCUCAUCCCGAGCACCA